GGGUCAGUAGGUUGGUCGUGCCACCGGUACGUACUGGUCUCACUGAUUCCUCCUUCCUGAAGAACCGUAAUGCCAUUAAUUUGGCGUUGCGGGGAAACAGGACUGUUACUUUGAAAAAAUUAGAGUGUUUAAAGCAAGCUAACGCUUGAAUACAUUAGCACGGAAUAAUGAAAUAGGACGAUCGAUCCUAUUUUGUUGGUUUCUAGGAUUGACGUA
This 216-nucleotide ribosomal RNA is filed under the name Glomeromycotina sp. RNAcentral's name for it is "partial small subunit ribosomal RNA". The stretch from base 44 to 216 matches the Rfam family "Eukaryotic small subunit ribosomal RNA", at positions 690 to 864 of the family's 1831-position model. Lineage: Eukaryota; Fungi; Glomeromycota. The record is from RNAcentral.